UCUUGAUCUACGACUCCAGGGUGAA
This 25-nucleotide non-coding RNA is filed under the name Mus musculus (house mouse). Lineage: Eukaryota; Metazoa; Chordata; Mammalia; Rodentia; Muridae. The record is from RNAcentral.